This is a ribosomal RNA of Argentina anserina (silverweed cinquefoil), 119 nucleotides long. The record is from RefSeq and is a predicted model, not a curated record. NCBI's taxonomy places the organism in Eukaryota, Viridiplantae, Streptophyta, Magnoliopsida, Rosales, Rosaceae.
GGGUGUGAUCAUACCAGCAAUAAUGCACCGGAUCCCAUCAGAACUCUAAAAUUAAGCUUGCUUGGGCGAGAGUAGUAAUAGGAUGGGUGACCUCCUCGGAAGGCCUCGCCUUGCACCCC